Molecule: ribosomal RNA, 241 nt
Filed under: Enterobacter sp. LR6
Lineage: Bacteria; Pseudomonadati; Pseudomonadota; Gammaproteobacteria; Enterobacterales; Enterobacteriaceae
Description: partial 16S ribosomal RNA
Rfam family: Bacterial small subunit ribosomal RNA
Source: RNAcentral
CAGGCCUAACACAUGCAAGUCGAACGGUAACAGGAAGCAGCUUGCUGCUUUGCUGACGAGUGGCGGACGGGUGAGUAAUGUCUGGGAAACUGCCUGAUGGAGGGGGAUAACUACUGGAAAUGGUAGCUAAUACCGCAUAACGUCGCAAGACCAAAGAGGGGGACCUUCGGGCCUCUUGCCAUCGGAUGUGCCCAGAUGGGAUUAGCUAGUAGGUGGGGUAACGGCUCACCUAGGCGACGAU